AGGUGAUCUGACUGUAACAUCUGUCACCCCAUCGAUCUUCAGGGUUGUUUCGGCUGAUCUGGUUGACUAGGCAGGUGUCCCCUUCCUUCCCUCCCAAAGCUGCAGACUUGGUGGAAAAGGAUGACUUACCUCACAGAGGAGGAACAUUCUUCAGUCAAGGGUAUGUGAGUAGCUGCAUUCCAUUGCUAGAACCUCCAAACAAGCUCUCAGUGUCCAUUUGUAGGAGAAUGUAGGGUAGUCAGGUUUCUAAGGCUCCAGACACAUCCAAGUGAGGUGCUGCAUGCCACGGUCCGCCUUUCAAG
Ailuropoda melanoleuca (giant panda) is the source of this 302-nucleotide non-coding RNA. The record is from Rfam. NCBI's taxonomy places the organism in Eukaryota, Metazoa, Chordata, Mammalia, Carnivora, Ursidae.